AGACCCGAAACCCGGUGAUCUAGCCAUGGGCAGGUUGAAGGUUGGGUAACACUAACUGGAGGACCGAACCGACUAAUGUUGAAAAAUUAGCGGAUGACCUGUGGCUGGGGGUGAAAGGCCAAUCAAACCGGGAGAUAGCUGGUUCUCCCCGAAAGCUAUUUAGGUAGCGCCUCGUGAAUUCAUCUCCGGGGGUAGAGCACUGUUUCGGCUAGGGGGCCAUCCCGGCUUACCAACCCGAUGCAAACUGCGAAUACCGGAGAAUGUUAUCACGGGAGACACACGGCGGGUGCUAACGUCCGUCGUGAAGAGGGAAACAACCCAGACCGCCAGCUAAGGUCCCAAAGUCAUGGUUAAGUGGGAAACGAUGUGGGAAGGCCCAGACAGCCAGGAUGUUGGCUUAGAAGCAGCCAUCAUUUAAAGAAAGCGUAAUAGCUCACUGGUCGAGUCGGCC
This 451-nucleotide ribosomal RNA is filed under the name Salmonella enterica subsp. enterica serovar Senftenberg. RNAcentral's name for it is "partial 23S ribosomal RNA". It matches the Rfam family "Bacterial large subunit ribosomal RNA", at positions 711 to 1159 of the family's 2925-position model. The record is from RNAcentral. Lineage: Bacteria; Pseudomonadati; Pseudomonadota; Gammaproteobacteria; Enterobacterales; Enterobacteriaceae. RNAcentral also lists the same sequence under 5 other names.